RNAcentral lists this long non-coding RNA (447 nucleotides) under Olea europaea subsp. europaea. Lineage: Eukaryota; Viridiplantae; Streptophyta; Magnoliopsida; Lamiales; Oleaceae. The record is from RNAcentral.
GUUCAAGUUAAAUGGUAAAUAUUAGUUUUACCCUAAAAUGGGGAACUAAGAGAUCAAUAAGAUGAGUAUAAUAUUUAAUUAUCCACAAUGGAAAACCAAUUAUUUAACUUUCUAAGCAUUUGUCUUACUAAGGUAUGAAAAUCAUUUGCAGCUUGCGUGUGUAUGUAAGGAUAAUGGAAAGCACUGUCCGAGCCCAUACAUCCAUGUGUAUGCGCCUGGUCGAUCCGGUGCCAGUGAGGCAUUGUGCUUUACGAGCACUCAGCUCACUUGUAUCCUAUAAAAAUCUGGACCACAACCAAUCUUAUUUACAUUAUGCUAAAGAUUCGUUGAUCCAACUAUAAUCUGAUUAAUAACGUGAUAUUUUGAGAUCAGAUAGCUGAAAGUGAGUGUUCCUUCAAUCAAAACUUAUUACAAUUAAAAGGCCAAUUUUGAGUUGUUGGAUUGUCU